RNAcentral lists this ribosomal RNA (368 nucleotides) under uncultured organism. RNAcentral's name for it is "bacterial SSU rRNA". It matches the Rfam family "Bacterial small subunit ribosomal RNA", at positions 526 to 896 of the family's 1533-position model. The record is from RNAcentral.
CGGAGGGUGCAAGCGUUGUCCGGAUUUAUUGGGUUUAAAGGGUGCGUAGGCGGCUUUUUAAGUCAGUGGUGAAAUCCUUCAGCUUAACUGGAGAAUUGCCAUUGAUACUGGAAAGCUUGAGUACAGACGAGGUAGGCGGAAUUUAUGGUGUAGCGGUGAAAUGCUUAGAUACCAUAAAGAACACCGAUUGCGAAGGCAGCUUACUAGGCUGUAACUGACGCUGAGGCACGAAAGUGUGGGUAUCAAACAGGAUUAGAUACCCUGGUAGUCCACACUGUAAACGAUGAUUACUCGAUGUGUGCGAUAGACAGUACGCGUCCAAGCGAAAGCGUUAAGUAAUCCACCUGGGGAGUACGAUCGCAAGAUUG